RNAcentral lists this long non-coding RNA (710 nucleotides) under Homo sapiens (human). RNAcentral's name for it is "HSALNT0034549". The record is from RNAcentral. Lineage: Eukaryota; Metazoa; Chordata; Mammalia; Primates; Hominidae.
GCUAGAGGGCUGCCUAUGAUCAGAUCUUCUGAGAACAUCAGAGAAAGACUGUCCUUGCAAUCUACACUACAGCAAGACUUCAGGACCUUGAACUUCAGGUUCAUAAUCUCACAACUGAGAAGGAUCCUUCCACACUCUUGGAACAGUGCACCCAUUGGAACUCUGAAGGUUAAGCUCACCAGGAAAGUUUCUCUCCAGAAGAAGAUAACACCCUUAAUGUGAACAGCUUUUCCCAAAAUCACGGAUUGAAACUUCUCUACACUCACGAGACUCUUAUCUUUGAAUAUUUUCCCUUGGUUAUGCUUCUGUGAACAAUAGACGUGAAAAGGGAGUCUGUUGUGUGCACUUAUGGGGCACACUUUUAUGUGUGAAGGAUUUUUCAGCCAGCCUUAUAUAUGGAUGACCUUAUAGUUUAAGAGAUAAAAGACAAAGACCCAAUGCAAUUGCUGUAAACUGACAAAGAGAUGUGUCCCUAAGUGUAUUUUUUAUUCUGUGUUCAAAGAUCACCAAUGAGAUUCCCAGUUGCCAAAUCCAAUCUUUAGUUUUCAUCUUAGUUCCUCUGAGCAACAUCUGAAAAAUCCUACAAGAUUGAGAAAUUCUUCAUAAGGAGUGUGAUAGGCAACCUUGAAAUGGCCCCAGAUAAUCCCUGCCUCCAGACUAACAAAAUGAUAUUUGUGUCCAGAACCAGUUAAAGAGCUGUGGCAGUUCUA